This 3091-nucleotide unclassified non-coding RNA is filed under the name Cyanidioschyzon merolae strain 10D. Its description in RNAcentral is "hypothetical transcript". Lineage: Eukaryota; Rhodophyta; Bangiophyceae; Cyanidiales; Cyanidiaceae. The record is from RNAcentral.
AUGGAGACUGCCGCAGCGCUUUGCGAGAAGGAACCGAAGAAAGACUGAAUUCUCUCGUAUUGAUCUCUAGCACGGGGGUUAAUCCCUGGGCGUGCCUCAUCACGAACAGCAUUGUAUUCCAAAACAACCGCUCUCGGUUGGGAAAUCGUGGAUUGCCUUGCACAGCGAGCAGCGUACUCGCCAAGCGUACUGCCCAGAACAGGCCUGUGAUCGUCGGGAACGGCACCGAGAGCCGGAUCCGGAAGAGGAUCGUGCGGAGCCCUCAGUACCAGUUAUGGGCACGUAAUGAGCACCGAAAAUGGUGCUCUUGUGCAGGGCGGCUGCGCUGAGCGCAAGCGGCGAGCUGCGCGUUCGAAAACACCUGACCACAGCGAAGUAGCAGCUCGUCUUACGGGUCACCGAGUCUGUUUCCAGGAGUGACGAGAAUGGCAAGCGAACCGAAAACCGCGACUGCUGUCUGUGCAUGAAAUCGAGCGACAGCAUUCUUGAGCUGCGAAACUGAGACUUUCACGCUGCUAUGAACAGUGCUCGAAUGCGGACAACGGGGCUGGAUGGAAAGGAGAGACUGGCGUAGUGUAAGCGAGAGACAAGCGUGUAGAAAAGGAAGCAGCCGCAGAUAACCCCUGCAAAAAAGCCGAUGUUGAAGACAGCAGGAACAUGGACCGAAUCAUUAGUGUCUGCGCCCGAGUUAGAGGACCAGUUCUAUUUAUUCUGACGAGGUGGUGUCCUCAGCGAGUGAACGAGGCCAACGCUUUUCAGGUAUGGCAACUACGGAUCUUUCGUGUUGCAUCUUUGCCAUCGAGUCAGGCGCCGGUCUCGAAAACGAUGUAGCCGUCGUUUUUGCUUGGAUACCAAGUGCUGGUACCGGGCCCUGUAGCUUUGCGAUCGAGCGAGAAGCCAGUCUCGAACGCGUUGCUGCCGUCGCGAAAACGUGACUUGCUCGAAGGUUGUUCUCGGGCUGGCGUUUGCAAGGCCAGGUGCAAGCCGGCUUGUCUCCUUAUGGCGGUUGAAAAGUCGCUGCACUUGUAAUCCCGAAGUUGCUGGCGCAUCUGACAAAGAAACGAAGCGCCCGGCGCUACUGACUCGAACCUACACAAGGUCAUGCUCUGUUGGCUUGCCAGUUAGUGUCCGGAACAAGGACUCACAGCUCAGCUAUCACGUGACGCUGUUGCCUAGCACCAGCUCCGAUGCGAUAUUUCACUGCAUACUCGAACGGAAGGCUCCGGCUUUGCUCGACAAGACUUGAACAAGUGAGCUUCGGCACCAGUGCGUGUAUCUUCGGAUCAGACGCCCCGCACAUAAUGCUGGACAGGGAUUGCACACCUUCAGACGCCACUUCAGAGCGUGCACCUGCCGCCUGUUACGACGGAUGCAGCGUGGACCCGAACACGCGUGCGCUCCGAACGUACACCUGAUGCAAGUUAUAGCGUGCUUCCGCCUCGGCGGUCGGUGCAUCGCGGAACUACGACGGAUGCAGCGUGGACCCGAACACGCGUGCGCUCCGAACGUACACCUGAUGCAAGUUAUAGCGUGCUUCCGCCUCGGCGGUCGGUGCAUCGCGGAACUCGGUGUAGUGCUCUGUGGCAGCGAGUCCAUCGGCGGGGUGUCGUUCAGCACUGCAGCCGCAUCAGUAUAGGCCGCGGAGAACGGUUCGGGUGCGAUGAGCCUCGCGGGAGUCAACCAGGGGCUCGCUUGAUCCAGCGACCCAACGGUUGCCGCACGUAGAACAGACAACAACAGCAUGGCGCUGCGGGCUUCUUUGGAGGUCGCCAUGCGACAUGUCGCCAAGGCACCUGGUCGCCCGCGGGAGCGAAUGCUGUAGCGCUCGAGAAGAAGUGAUCGAGCGAAUCGAUCCGACCGACGAUCCGACGGAUUUGACUCGUAGAGAAAGACUGCAAACGAGCUCGAGAACCUCGCUAUUGACCUCAGGAAAGUUACAAGACCCGAUGUGCAUACACCCUAGCCUCACAGGGCUGUGAGCGGCGCCGCGGGUACACGCGGUGCGCUCAGAGAAGCGCUUCAACAAAACUGCAUCAACCGAGCAGUGCUCGAGUGCUUUGUUUACGUAUUCGAGCGCAAGCUUUGGAUGCUGUCCGUGAGCUGUGCUCCUUCGAUACCAAACGUUCCAGAUCCAGCAACUGUACCUGAAUUUGUCCUCGAAAGGCGCAUCUCGUCAUCGUCAGGAAAAUCGCAUGCGUGAAUCCUACACCCCCAGCGAAACAUCGCGAUAGCCACUGAGGUAUACGUUGUUGAUGUCGUCUUCCAUGCUGUGAUCCCAGCGUCCACUAUCCUGUUUCGGAUCGAAUGCUGCAAGGUUUUCCCGUAACUGCUCCAUACUGGUCGCCCCGAUGAUCGUGCUUGCAGUGAACCAACGCGAUCGAACAAAAGAGAGCGCUAGCUGAGACGGAGUUUUCUUGUAUUUGCGGGCGAUCUCCGUGUAGCGUUCCACGGCAGCCAUACAGGUCGGCGUCUGAUACCGCUGCAUAUACCGUUUGAACAAGGUAAAUCGCGCUCGUUCUCGCUGGCUCGGAUCGCUGGACGGGAGAUACUUUCCACUGAGUGCACCGCCCGCCAGAGGCGAGUACGCCAGCAACGGCACGUCGCAGUACGUACUUGCCUCGGCAUGGGCGCCUUCAAAUUGGCGAUGAAGCAGCGAGUAGGAAUUCUGAAUGGAAACAACUCUUGGCAGGCCUAGAGUGGAAGCGAUACGGGUGAACUCCAUGAUACCCACAGGUGUCUCGUUGCUGAGCCCAACAUACCGUACCUUGCCCUGGCGAAUAAGGGCGUCCAUGGCACGUAACUGUUCCUCCAGGGAACGAGUGAUGUUGUUACGGUCCGCUGCACUCAGCGGGCCUGGAUAUGCAUGGCUCCCGAAAAGCGGCACCGGUCGAGCGGGCCAGUGAAUUUGGUAAAGAUCGAUGUAGUCCGUUUGCAGCCGAGUGAGCGACCCGUUGCAUGCCUCGAUGAUGGAGUCGUAGUCGAGUUUCGGUCCUCCGCGGAUCCAGGAGAUAUCGCGCCCCGGGCCGCACACUUUCGUUGCCACGUAGAUCCGCUCCCGCACGCCUGGAUUCUUCUUAAACCAGUUCCCAAU